Molecule: ribosomal RNA, 387 nt
Filed under: Achromatium oxaliferum
Lineage: Bacteria; Pseudomonadati; Pseudomonadota; Gammaproteobacteria; Thiotrichales; Thiotrichaceae
Description: bacterial SSU rRNA
Rfam family: Bacterial small subunit ribosomal RNA
Source: RNAcentral
AACGCGUAGGAAUCUNCCUGACAGUGGGGGAUAACUUAGGGAAACUUAAGCUAAUACCGCAUACGCCCUACGGGGGAAAGCGGGGGACUCUUGUAGCCUCGCGCUGACAGAUGAGCCUGCGUCCGAUUAGCUAGUUGGCGGGGUAAUAGCCCACCAAGGCGACGAUCGGUAGCUGGUCUGAGAGGACGAUCAGCCACACUGGGACUGAGACACGGCCCAGACUCCUACGGGAGGCAGCAGUGGGGAAUAUUGGACAAUGGGCGCAAGCCUGAUCCAGCAAUGCCGCGUGUGUGAAGAAGGCCUGCGGGUUGUAAAGCACUUUCGGGGGGGAAGAAAAGUUAGCUGCUAAUAUCAGCUAAUCUUGACGUUACUCCAAUAAGAAGCACC